UAUACUGGUGAAACUGCGAAUGGCUCAUUAAAUCAGUUAUCGUUUAUUUGAUAGUACCUUACUACAUGGAUACCUGUGGUAAUUCUAGAGCUAAUACAUGCUGAAAACCUCGACUUCGGAAGGGGUGUAUUUAUUAGAUAAAAAACCAAUGCCCUUCGGGGCUCCUUGGUGAAUCAUAAUAACUUAACGAAUCGCAUGGCCUUGCGCCGGCGAUGGUUCAUUCAAAUUUCUGCCCUAUCAACUUUCGAUGGUAGGAUAGUGGCCUACCAUGGUGGCAACGGGUAACGGGGAAUUAGGGUUCGAUUCCGGAGAGGGAGCCUGAGAAACGGCUACCACAUCCAAGGAAGGCAGCAGGCGCGCAAAUUACCCAAUCCCGACACGGGGAGGUAGUGACAAUAAAUACUGAUACGGGGCUCUUUUGGGUCUCGUAAUUGGAAUGAGUACAAUCUAAAUCCCUUAACGAGGAACAAUUGGAGGGCAAGUCUGGUGCCAGCAGCCGCGGUAAUUCCAGCUCCAAUAGCGUAUAUUAAAGUUGUUGCAGUUAAAAAGCUCGUAGUUGAACCUUGGGUCUGGCUGGCCGGUCCGCCUCACCGCGAGUACUGGUCCGGCUGGACCUUUCCUUCUGGGGAAUCUCAUGGCCUUCACUGGCUGUGGGGGGAACCAGGACUUUUACUGUGAAAAAAUUAGAGUGUUCAAAGCAGGCCUUUGCUCGAAUACAUUAGCAUGGAAUAAUAGAAUAGGACGUGCGGUUCUAUUUUGUUGGUUUCUAGGACCGCCGUAAUGAUUAAUAGGGAUAGUCGGGGGCGUCAGUAUUCAGCUGUCAGAGGUGAAAUUCUUGGAUUUGCUGAAGACUAACUACUGCGAAAGCAUUCGCCAAGGAUGUUUUCAUUAAUCAGGGAACGAAAGUUAGGGGAUCGAAGACGAUCAGAUACCGUCGUAGUCUUAACCAUAAACUAUGCCGACUAGGGAUCGGACGGUGUUUCUAUUAUGACCCGUUCGGCACCUUACGAGAAAUCAA
This 1018-nucleotide ribosomal RNA is filed under the name Aspergillus niger. RNAcentral's name for it is "SSU rRNA". It matches the Rfam family "Eukaryotic small subunit ribosomal RNA", at positions 74 to 1101 of the family's 1831-position model. Lineage: Eukaryota; Fungi; Ascomycota; Eurotiomycetes; Eurotiales; Aspergillaceae. The record is from RNAcentral.